AAUUACUGUAGAUCAAUUAUAUAUGUCAGCCACAAGACCUGUGGAUCAGGGAUCAGGGGUCCCCCUAAGCCCCCCACUGGAGCCGCACAACAGAAUGGGGGAAUCACACAUGUACAACAAGAUCGACCCACAACAAAACAUGGAAGAAGACGAAGGUUGAGGCUAUCCAUGCUGUAAACGCAGCACUCUGGUAUCCAGGGCAAUCAAGUGGAGAUUUGAGACUAGUUGGUAAGUAAUGGGUUAGCCUCGGCUGGUAGACUGGAGGUCUAUUACAAUGGACAAUGGGGGACAGUGUGUUCUGACAGCUUCAGGUUUUACUGAUGCAGAGGUGGCUUGUCGUCAACUAGGGUUCUCAACGUGUACUCAAUAUACGGAACAGUUGAAACUCUAGGUUUCAAUGAUGAAGUCUCAUUGAAAUUUCAAACAUGGCUGGACAAGCUUCGUUGUUCAGGAAGGGAGAGCAGACUGGUUGAUUGUCCUGCUAUCACUAUAAUUGGAGUUGGAAUUGCAGCCAUUCAAAAGACGUGGCCUUAAUCUUUACUGCAAGUAUUAAAAUAAUAAUUAUAUAGAGGAGUAUAUAGUUUGGCAUUGCUACAGUAAUAAUUUAUGAGCUCGAUCCUUUUACAUACAGCAUGCGUAUUAUUAUGCCUCGAGGCGUAGCCGCACGAGGGAUACGGUAAAGCUGACUGUGUGCAGUGGCGAGUCCAGUGCAUACCCCCCCCUUUCUUGCCAGAAGACCAGUAAUCACUGUAGAUUAGCUAAUAAUUAAGAUCUGUUAGCUCAUUUUCUGAACGAAGUGGGUGUGGCUUAUAGCACAAUCAUAGAGCAGACGAGCUUUUGAAGCUGAAGAGCAAGAUGAUUUCUGCUAUAUCUUGCUACUAGUAAUAUGUAUGUACAGUAGAACCUCGAUUAUCCGGCCCUCCAUUAUCCGGAACCUCGAUUAUCCGGCUUGGCAGUUUUCUUGUUAUCAGAUCAGAAAAUGGGCGUGUCCCUCAAACACGCAUGCGCAUUGCAGCUGUUACCAUGGAGACAUGCCUGCUUAUCUUCUGCGCAUGCGCAGACAACCAUGUGGCACUGCUGUUUAUCAAUAAAGUGGGUGGAUCAAGGCGUGGUUUAUCUAUUCGAUUAUCCGGCAUAUUCACUUAUCCAGCCUGCUUCUGGAACCAAGGUGUCCGGAUAAUCGAGGUUCUAUUGUGUAUCAUAUUGUUGAUCAUUCAAUCCAUGACCAGAUAGCCACUGAUAGGGCUUUAAAAAAACAGUUGACCUUUUUUUUUAGUAAAAUUGUUUCUUUCAAUUGCCCCCCCCCCCUUUCCAAAGUCCUGGAUCUGCCCCUGGUGUGUGUGUGUGUGUGUGUGUCUGUCUGUCUGUGUGUUUGUCUGUUCCAGCUGUAACUGCUCAACGGUUGCAAUGCGAUGAAAACUAUAUAGGCUUCUAGCCACGUUCUCUUGGAUUGGAUUAGCAAACUAAAGCUUCUUUCUCGAGUUAUGGCUAGUUUGAUCCACAUUAAAGGCUGUUGCAGCAGUCUCUACAGAUUCUUUCGUAGCAUCGUCUGCACUUGUUCGCAGAAACUUUCUAUUCAACAUACGAGUUAUAGCCUUGCACUAAAGCGCUAGCUUUUCGUUAGCUACAAGAGUCAGAAAAGAUCUGUUAAAGCAGUAGCCAUUUGCGAACUUGAUCUCUUUGCAGCGCAGACACACCCUUUAAUAAUUAUUCCUGUGUAUGUAAUGCGCAUGCUUGGCUACAGGCCAUUUAAAUAACAUGCAGUUGCUUCAGGUCGUUGAAGAUUAUUCAUUAUCAGAUAUAAGGCUUCUGUUUCUAUUCAUGCAGCUCCUCUCCUAUAAUGAAUUCAGUUCUGUCAGCAAUUGCAAUCAACCCAGGUCCCAAAUUGAACAGUUUGUACAAAACAACCUCUCAACAAAGGUCACCUUUGUAUAAAGGCCAAAACAUUGUUCCCCAAAGGUGUCCGUUAUAGAGGGGUUCCACUGUAGCAACUCAUACAAUGCAUUGUUGACAUACAGUGCCUUCCAUGCAGUGGUGACAAAAGGAAGGGGUAGCGUUUGACUAUUUGAGAGGCAACAAUUCUGUUGUCGUCAGAACGAUUUCUUUUGUAUGCAUGCAAUGUAUAUUAAACCAGCAAUCCUAGUCAGAAACUUGGCUGAACCACUGAAUCUAUGCAUAUAUACAUGCAAUUCAGGUGCAAUCCUGUUUCGAUAUCGGAGCGAUAAUGGGUGGGGAACGGGGACGGAUCAAGUAAAUCGAUAUCUUCAUUCCCAAUCAUUAUCACUCGUUCUUCAGGGGUUGCUGAGUAUUAUAUGAGGCAUAAUGUGGUGGAAGCAUCCUGCAAUGUGAGUAGGUGAAUGUGCAAAGCAAUGCAAGGCACAUAAAUAUUUAAUUAGUUAAAUAAGAUUAUGAAAUGAGAGAUACAAAGAGAGAAAAGGCUAAAUGAACUAUAUCUGUCCAGCCAGUUUCUUGAUCCGUUAAAAGGAUGCUGUCUCUGCAUGUCCUAACAAUAUAUAUUCAUGCUGUAUAAUUAGUGCUAUAUAUACAACUUGCAAUAUAAUUAUAUAUAUAGUCAUUUGUGUGUCAGUACACAGCCUCUAUAUGUAUAUAGAGCGUGGGUCCUGGGUGACCCAGACCAUGCAUUCAUUAACAUGCAUGCAGAGCAUUUGUGUCCUCUUUUGUGUAAUGCUAAAAAUGUCUAUAUAAUUAUAGUUUUUAGGAGAGUGUUUCUGUUUAGCGUGUUAUAUCAUGUGGAAACUUCCUAAACAGUGUCUAAGCAUUUUAUAUCAUAGCAACCAUGAGUAUUUAGCCAAUCAUGCAGAUUUGAAUGUUCUUAUCUAAUCUUUGCUACAUGAUUUUCUAAGUGAAGUACAUGAUUUCUAAGUAAGUACAUGAUUUUCUAAAUAAGUACAUGAUGUUCUAAGUUGGAUAGAACAAUACCCAUGCAUACUUGGAGCCAAAGGGUGCAUGACACUUCAUAAUUAUCUUGACCUAUUAUAGACUAUAUAAUUAUAAUAGUAAUCUACCUGAAAAAGUAAAGCAAAAUGUCUAACAUACAUCACAGAGUGAUUAUAGCUUGCCGCUCACAACUUGUGUCAGAGCUACAAAAAGGAGAUUUAAACUCAUUAGCAGAUUGGUUCUAUCAGAAUGGGAUGCUUGCUCUACCAGAGCUAGGCGACAUCCAAUCAGAAAAAGAGCAAGUGGAAAAGGCUAGGAGACUGACUAAUGUUCUUGAGAACAGAGUUCACCACGUUACACAUCGCUAUCAGCACUUUACCAAGAUGUUGACACAGAGGUCUUCACAAUUCCAUGGACUAACUGUGAUAUUGGAGAAUAAGAGAAGGAGAAUCUCGCCGAACUAGUACAAAAACAUACAUUUCACGAGACUCAGGUCUAUCUGAGCUAGAAGACUCAUACAUCUGCAUUAAGUGCUUUUGCGGGAACUGUGCUACGAACAAUUUUGUUCAGGGAGAGAAUUGCCCCGACGCACCACCUAAAAGCCCUCCAUUCCUCAGUAUGUGUUCACAAGCUGACGCAAACGGAAUGAAAUUUUCAGACUAUAGACAAUCUAUUAUGGAACAAACUCGUGACAUAAACUCGAAACAUAAAGCCCUUCUCUUACACACUACACAAGAAUUGAAAGAGAAAGUGCCACUGGAUGUUGUCAAGGACACUGUGCAGUCUCUCCUUACCCCACCUCACGUGAAAAAAUCUUUAUACACCUGCAUAUACAAGCGUGGUACCAAAGGACGACUUAGAGAUGUAGGGACACAUGAUGAUCUCAGAUUAUAUUUAGAAAACAACUUCUGCUGCUGGUUCAACAUCCAAUUAAUUGCAGACCUCAGAAAAGUGCUUCUUUUAAAAGGGAAACGUGAUGACUCUUACAUUUGCCACUAUAAAGAACACGUAGCACAAUACUUGAAAAGAUGCUGUGUUAAACACACCAUAUGCGACACAGAGAACGGAAAAGAGUAUAUGCGCAUGGAAAUCGUAUGCCGAGUAUCGACUGACUUCACAAAGCUAAAAACUGAGCAAAUCAGAAUAUUUGAAUACACUCUCCGGCAGUAUGUUAGUAUGCCAGAUUGCAGUAAGACAGUAGACGAACAAAGUGGGGAGCUGAUAUUUACAGAGAAAGAGCCAACUACAAAUCAGCAAGUGAUAAUUCAUCAAGAUUUAGGAGCUACAGAAAGUAUUGACAACAAAAGUACAGAUUCAAUCCUCCAAAAUGUUCAUGGACCUAUGGAAAUCAGGGAUGAUUCUUGCUGCUCAACUAAGAAACUUUGUCUCUGUAUAGCUAUCAUUAUACCAUGUCUUAUACCGUGCAUAGUAUUGUAUUACUGCAAGCCUGAGAAUAAUAGAGACGCAGAGAAUCACAUAGUUUAAGGUUUAAGCGAGUUAAUUCCUGUUUUUGCUUUCAAGUCAUGCAAUAUAGCGGUUAAUAUGUACGUACUUAUUAUUAAUUUUCGGAUGUGCAUGCACACCUAAUUAAUUUUUGAUCCAUUCCUUAUAGCAUACCCUCAUUUUGUUAUAU
Molecule: RNA transcript, 4531 nt
Organism: Halichondria panicea
Lineage: Eukaryota; Metazoa; Porifera; Demospongiae; Suberitida; Halichondriidae
Exons: 6
Source: RefSeq, a predicted model, not a curated record